Molecule: unclassified non-coding RNA, 149 nt
Filed under: uncultured fungus
Lineage: Eukaryota; Fungi
Description: sequence contains ITS1, 5.8S rRNA gene
Source: RNAcentral
AUGAAUAUUUGGGUGCUCUCAACGAGGCCCAACCUUCAUUCUUUCCACCCUGUGCACAUUAUAUUGUCAAUUUGUAGCUUUGCUACACUUUGGCUAUCAUUUUUAAAACUCUACAAGUCAAAGAAUGUUACAAAUUUUAUAAUCCAAUA